GAUGAAGAACGUAGCGAAAUGCGAUAAGUAAUGUGAAUUGCAGAAUUCAGUGAAUCAUCGAAUCUUUGAACGCACAUUGCGCCCGCCAGUAUUCUGGCGGGCAUGCCUGUUCGAACGUCAUUUCAACCAUCAAGCCCCCGGCUUGUGUUGGGGACCUGCGGCUGCCGCAGGCCCUGAAAACCAGUGGCGGGCUCGCUAGUCACUCCGAGCGUAGUAAUACAUCUCGCUCAGGGCGUGCUGCGGGUUCCGGCCGUUAAAAAGCCUUAUUUACCCAAGGUUGACCUCGGAUCAGGUAGGAAGACCCGCUGAACUUAAGCAUAUCAAUAAGCGGAGGA
RNAcentral lists this unclassified non-coding RNA (335 nucleotides) under soil metagenome. RNAcentral describes it as "partial contains 5.8S ribosomal RNA, internal transcribed spacer 2, and large subunit ribosomal RNA". The stretch from base 1 to 120 matches the Rfam family "5.8S ribosomal RNA", at positions 35 to 154 of the family's 154-position model. The record is from RNAcentral.